AUUGAACGCUGGCGGUAUGCUUAACACAUGCAAGUCGAACGGUAACAGGCCUUCGGGCGCUGACGAGUGGCGGACGGGUGAGUAACGCGUAGGAAUCUGCCUUAUAGUGGGGGACAACGUGGGGAAACCCACGCUAAUACCGCAUACGCCCUACGGGGGAAAGCGGGGGAUCGUAAGACCUCGCGCUAUGAGAUGAGCCUGCGUUAGAUUAGCUAGUUGGUAGGGUAAAGGCCUACCAAGGCGACGAUCCCUAGCUGGUCUGAGAGGACGAUCAGCCACACCGUGGACUGAGACACCGGCCCAGACCUCCGUACGGGGAGGCUCG
This 325-nucleotide ribosomal RNA is filed under the name uncultured Pseudomonadota bacterium. Its description in RNAcentral is "bacterial SSU rRNA". It matches the Rfam family "Bacterial small subunit ribosomal RNA", at positions 30 to 351 of the family's 1533-position model. Lineage: Bacteria; Pseudomonadati; Pseudomonadota. The record is from RNAcentral.